UAAGCAAUAGUGAAUCGUGUGGCUCAACCAUACACCCAUUAUUGAACUGGCAAGCUUGAGAGCGAGAGAGGUUACUAGAAUUCCUAGUGUAGGAGUGAAAUCCGUAGAUAUUAGGAGGAAUACCGAUGGCGUAGGCAGGUAACUGGCUCGUUUCUGACACUAAGGCACGAAAGCGUGGGGAGCAAACGGGAUUAGAUACCCCGGUAGUCCACGCUGUAAACGAUGGAUGCUA
Molecule: ribosomal RNA, 232 nt
Filed under: uncultured Candidatus Saccharibacteria bacterium
Lineage: Bacteria; Candidatus Saccharimonadota
Description: partial 16S ribosomal RNA
Rfam family: Bacterial small subunit ribosomal RNA
Source: RNAcentral